RNAcentral lists this ribosomal RNA (381 nucleotides) under Henlea petushkovi. Its description in RNAcentral is "partial 12S small subunit ribosomal RNA". It matches the Rfam family "Bacterial small subunit ribosomal RNA", at positions 875 to 1415 of the family's 1533-position model. Lineage: Eukaryota; Metazoa; Annelida; Clitellata; Enchytraeida; Enchytraeidae. The record is from RNAcentral.
AAGACUCAAUAUUUAUGCCAGAUAAUACGAACAAUAGUUUAAAAUUCAAAGAAAUUGGCGGUAUUUCAUAUAAUCAGGGGAACCUGCUUCUUAAUUCGAUACUCCACGAAAUCUAAACCUAAUUUUGCAAUUCCAGCCUGUGUACUGCUGUCGUCAGUCAACCUCUAAAAGAAAGUUGACAUAAAAUACAUUACUGGUAUUAAUGUCAAGUCAAAGUGCAGCCGAUAAUUAGGAGAAGGUGGGUUACAAUCUCAAUAAAGAUACAAAUGAUCUUUUAUAAUAAAAUUUCAAAGGCGGACUUGAUAGUAAUGAUUACAACACAUCAUCAUUAAUAUUAUUCUGAAAUGUGCACACAUCGCCCGUCGCUCUCUUCAUAAGAUG